RNAcentral lists this ribosomal RNA (301 nucleotides) under uncultured bacterium. RNAcentral describes it as "partial 16S ribosomal RNA". It matches the Rfam family "Bacterial small subunit ribosomal RNA", at positions 509 to 809 of the family's 1533-position model. The record is from RNAcentral.
CAGUAGCCGCGGGAAUACGUAGGUGGCAAGCGUUGUCCGGAAUUAUUGGGCGUAAGGGGCUCGCGGGCGGUUUCUUAAGUCUGAUGUGAAAGCCCCAGCUCAACCGGGGAGGGUCAUUGGAAACUGGGAAACUUGAGUGCAGAAGAGGAGAGUGGAAUUCCACGUGUAGCGGUGAAAUGCGUAGAGAUGUGGAGGAACACCAGUGGCGAAGGCGACUCUCUGGUCUGUAACUGACGCUGAGGAGCGAAAGCGUGGGGAGCGAACAGGAUUAGAUACCCCCGUAGUCCCUGUCUCUAUACAC